RNAcentral lists this transfer RNA (83 nucleotides) under Bacteroidales bacterium. Its description in RNAcentral is "tRNA-Tyr". It matches the Rfam family "tRNA". From Rfam's summary of the family: Transfer RNA (tRNA) molecules are approximately 80 nucleotides in length. Their secondary structure includes four short double-helical elements and three loops (D, anti-codon, and T loops). Further hydrogen bonds mediate the characteristic L-shaped molecular structure. tRNAs have two regions of fundamental functional importance: the anti-codon, which is responsible for specific mRNA codon recognition, and the 3' end, to which the tRNAs corresponding amino acid is attached (by aminoacyl-tRNA synthetases). tRNAs cope with the degeneracy of the genetic code in two manners: having more than one tRNA (with a specific anti-codon) for a particular amino acid; and 'wobble' base-pairing, i.e. permitting non-standard base-pairing at the 3rd anti-codon position. RNAcentral also lists the same sequence under 1 other name. The record is from RNAcentral. Lineage: Bacteria; Pseudomonadati; Bacteroidota; Bacteroidia; Bacteroidales.
GGGCGAAUACCAGAGUGGUCAAAUGGGGCAGACUGUAAAUCUGCUGGCUUAUGCCUUCGGUGGUUCGAAUCCAUCUUCGCCCA